This 618-nucleotide unclassified non-coding RNA is filed under the name Radix auricularia. RNAcentral's name for it is "sequence contains ITS1". Lineage: Eukaryota; Metazoa; Mollusca; Gastropoda; Lymnaeidae. The record is from RNAcentral.
GGAUCAUUAACGCAUGAUUUCUCAAGCAGCUGCUGGCUGUUGUGAAACGCACGCACACGUCCUAUCGAAACAGUAACGAUAUACAUUUUUUGCCCGCGUGCGGCGGCGGCAUGAAGCCAACGCCACGCGGGUCCGUCCGCUCCAAUAUUUUCGGGGUACCUAACCAUUUUUUAUUGUCCUCGAUGCGACCCACGGUGACGGCUUAGAGCCCGAGUGCUCGCCGGGUCGCCAUGGUUCAAAGAGUGGCCUUGCUCUCUUACGGCCACCGCCCCGACCGACCGACGUCUUGUCCGAUAAGAGAAGCCCGGGGUACCUGUGCCCUUGUUUGCUCGAUCCUGCUCGCUGGGAGGCACGCUCUCGCCAUCCUUGGGUCGGCUCGCUUGGGCGGGAGCUCCAGAUCUUUUUGGCCGCGACGGUUCAAAGAGCCGACCGUGCUCGUGUCGGUCGCCGCCCCGGGUCUCUCUCAUUUUUUUCAAUAUACAAAACAAAAAUUUUAAUGUUGGCCGGAAAAGAGAAAAGCGGUUGCGUGCUCGCACCACUUUUUUUUAUUGUCAUUCGUGACAAAAAAAAUGUACGUAUAACUUUGAGCGGUGGAUCACUCGGCUCGUGCGUCGAUGA